AAUUUGUGUUCACGUUUUUUCCCGAAGGAUAAACGAUAAAGGACUAGUUGAGAAGUGUUUUCUACUUUAAAUCUCAAAUUGUCAAAUAUCUGAAGUGUAGAUAACGUUUGAUUGCUUCUUCAUUUAAUUUGCUUGAGCAAACAGCGAAGGAAGAAUUAAUCGAAUUUGAAAUUUCUUUCAAUAUCCAGAGAGACUGUAAUUUCUUAGCAAACAUAACAGCACAGACUACGAGAUUUGGAAGACCUCAUUUGUAACUGAAAACGAUAAUGAGUUCAGUAUAUUGCUGUUGACUUGUCAAUGGCCAUACAGCUUUCAGUCAGUUAAUUAUUGCCUCCUGUUAUUGAAAAGGAUCGAUUGGACGAAGAAACAAGAAAGAACUAUUUGUUUUGUGGUACAGACAGAAACGAAGAUAAUUUUGUUCAUGUCUUCAAAGUUGAUCAAAGAAACUAGGAACACUUAAAAUAAGGAUGGAUAUCCUAGAAGAAGAAGAAUUCAACUGGAUAGAUGAAAACUUUUUGAGAAACAGCAGGCCACAAAAAGCAAGUUAUUCCAAUGAAAAGGAUGAAGCCUGGAAGAGAGAGCUAGGACGGCAACAAGAAAGACACGCGUCGUGUGAAAAUGUAUCGUACAGUCACGAGAAGCAAGAUCAUCCUGCAUCAUUUUGUCCUCGAGACAUAAAGGGAAGAAGAUCGGUGAAACUUGAAUUAGAUAGAGAAUAUACAAAAACGGAGAUAUUAGACGUACUUUUUGGCGAUGAAAUGAAUCACAGAAUUUCUGAUUCUUGUGAAACAUUUGUAUUUUCAAACACCCCUACUAAACAGGAUGACCUUGCAGAAAUAGAAAUAAUUGAUCUUUGUGAUUCCGAGGAUGAAUUGCACGAGGAAAAAAGCAUUCCGAAUUUGUGUGGGAUGGCUAAAAUGGAAGCAAACAUCUCCAUUCCUCAAGAUGAGAAAAUCAUUACAGCUUCGGCAGUUGUUUUGACCGACUCUGAAAUCAAGCAAGACCAUCAGGUGUCAGUUAACAACAAUUACUUAACAAGUAAAAUUUCCAAGAUCAUUGAUAGAUUGGCUGUACCCAUCAACUAUGUUCUUGCUGGAUUUGAACAAAUAAUUAGCGCUCUUUCAUUCAGCUCUGACAUGAAGUCUUGCUCUCUUGUUGGGGCCAGUAGUUCAAAAAACAGCAAUAACCUGAAGCCCAAUCCUUCAAUGGCUACUUUGAUGGAUUUGAACACUUUACACCAUGUUUCUCCUAAAGAGACGCUUCACAACGAUUCUCAGCCAACAAAAGAAGAAAAUCUGAUGACUGAGUAUUUAGAAUCGGAGAUUGAUUGUUAUUGCAAUCCGGCGUUCCAUACAUGCCGAAAUGCUCCCUCCAUCAUUGGCGAUAACGCGAGGUCUUAUUCAAGCGAGAUUCGAAGAAAAGAAGGCGAAGUCGCAAGGCAAGCUCCAUAUGUCAAUUUAGACACAAGAAAUUCUCCACAAAAGCACAGUUUGAAAAGUCGUUAUCGAUCUGAUCGUCGUAGUAGCCCUAUGAUGAAUGUGAAAAAUGUCCCUAAAUCCGAUAUUGAAUGCCAAUUGAAACAAUACGAAUAUGCAGAUAGUGAAUUUCAAACCUCAAAAACUUCAUUGUCUGCAGUGGAAAUUGAAGCAACAAGGCUUAUAUCAACCAAUGACGAAUGUGGUAUUCCUCAGAACUUGACCAGUCGAAAGUGUGAAUUACAAUUUAACGGUAAUAACACUCAAACCUUGUCCUACGAACGUGAUCUACUUUCUGAAAACAAGCCACUGAAUUCAUCAACCUCCUCAUUACCUCCCUUCAUAGAGGGUGAUGAGGAAGUUUCUACUCCAUGUGUUUCUCUUGAAUGCACAACAGCGCCUAGUUCUGAUUGUAUUGUUGCUCCAUUUGUUUCUCGUUGUUCAAGCAUGACUGAAAUUCCUCUUCGCAUAUCUACUCGACAAAAAUCUCGGCCUCAUAGAUACCGAGAUACCGAUGACGAUUUGAAUAUGAGACAUGCAAGAAUGACGAAAGCGAGAUCCAGCUCAACCAAACUUAGAAAACCAUUGAUCAAUGCAGUAAGAUCUGUUAAUGUGGAGCCCGUCGUUGAAUGUGAAAGUUUGGAAAGUUAUCAUGUCGAUGACGUAGAAGUUCAUCAGCGCAAUGCGUGAACCGAUUUCAUCAGAGAAAAGGUUGCUCUCUUCAUCGUCCCACUUAAAAAAACAGCUAGCUGGGUACUAUUUAUUGGAAUGAAUAUUCCAUCACAUCCAUGAUCCUUCCUUCCCUAACCCAUGGGACAGAAGACAAGGCAGUCUAAGUUCUAUUCCUGAGAUAGAAGUUUUAUCUCUUUUUGUGUUACUGAGCCCAAUUUGAACAAAUUAUGUUCCCCUCCUUUGAGGUCGACGAUUACCACUUUUUGUAAAUGUCAACAUAGAAGUGUUCAAAUAUGAGUAACUUUAGUUUCUUCGA
This 2463-nucleotide unclassified non-coding RNA is filed under the name Daphnia pulex (common water flea). RNAcentral's name for it is "uncharacterized LOC124204969, transcript variant X3". The record is from RNAcentral. Lineage: Eukaryota; Metazoa; Arthropoda; Branchiopoda; Diplostraca; Daphniidae.